GUAAGUUCAUCACAUUUACAUUUUUAUGCAAUUGAGUAUUCAUAAAUCAUAACCAUUUUGGUUACUAACUACUAAGUAGCUAUUAGCUAAUUUUUGUUCUUGUUUAAUUUUGAAUUCAGGCUGUUUUGAGUUGUGGGAUCAAGCUAGAACAAGAUUUGAAGAUGCCCAACCAUGGUCAUGGUCAUCACCAUCAUCAUGAUGGUUCACAUGAUAAUGCAUUGAUGUCACUUUGUUGUUGCCCAUGCAUGAUGGUGUCUUCAUUAUUUGGGAUGAUUGGGAGUUGUGUCUCUUGUCUUUGUUACCCGGUUCUUCACUGUUUUGGACUGGAUCAUCAUCGUCCCCAUCCCCCACCGCAUCACCACCGGUUCUAAUAAAAAUAUGAACCAUAUGGCUAAGUUGUUCAUGGUUUGUAUUAUUUAACAAGUUAAGUGCUUUUGUUUUCUUUUACUUUUAUUGUGGGUGGAUAUUCAUUAGUAAUUUUGUAAACUGGUAUGUACCCCAAAUCUUUGAAUCUUAAUGGUUAUGUAGUUGAUUUCUAUUGGUGCAUGUUUCUAUCUUGUGUUUGUGAAGAUCUGUUUGACUGAUGUGUUCUUUAAUAUUUUAAACAAAAAGUAUGAUCUUUUAUAUAAGACCAAUAGACUAUCUCCAAAAAAAAGUAAAUGUGAUUCUUCCAAGGUGGUUGGGGGUUUAAAUACUCAUGGUGGAUUUAUACGGUUGCAGAUUUUGAAGUAAGUUUAGGGUGUGUGAGUUAGUCGUUCUAAAACAUAUCUCCAAACAACUCAUAUCUCUUCCACUUCAGUGGUAGUCACGACCCACUACCCGACCUCUCCUUCUCCACCUCACGUAACUUGGAUAGAUUUAGGCCCUUUCCCUUUGUCCUCCCCCUCUCACACACCUUGUGCGAGCACGCCCUUGCACACAGGAUCUACCUCACACAUGGUCUUAUCCAGCGCUCUACUCCCAUGGGCCUCUCCACCUAAGAAAAAAUAUAUUUAUAUAAUAAUAUUUAUACAAACAUGUGUAGAUAAAUACCCACACAUUUACAUGUGUAGGUAAAUUAUGUAUGGGUAAACACAGGGGUGGACUUAUGUACAAAGUACGGGUUCCCGGGAACCCAGUCGGUUUUUAAUUUUUUGUGUAAAUAUAUAUAAGAAGCUGAAAAGGAACCCAUAAGUAUAUUAUAAAAGGAACCCAUAAACAUAAAAAGCCUUGGUUCCACUGGUUAUGUCCGCGCUUUUCUUCCUAACCCUCCCGAGUUCGAAUCCCGUAACUGCUGUUUUUUGUCCGUUUUUUUUUAAUUUCUCCUUUAAUUUUUUUUUCUUUGAUGUAAUAAAACCCAUUUAGGGUUAUAUCACAAAACACACGCCGCACACAAACAAGCAACGAACAGAGUUCAAACUUCAAACAACAUCAGCAGGUAGCAGCUCCACCUCCUCAGUCACCAGCGCCGACUGCCGCUGCUCCGCCUCUGCCCUCCGGCUGCUCCGCCUUCGACGAUUGCUGCCGAAACUUUGUUUUUCUUAUAUGAUUAUCAUCAGCGAAUCAACGAUUAAGAUAUAUCAAAGCACCAGUGGCUGUUGUUCAUAAUGAAAUCGGAGGAAUAACAUGGGGGAAUUCAACAAUUGUUGAUUGAAUCGUGUGCACUUUUUGUUGCUCCACCAUAAAUUUACAUCUUGUAGAUGCAUAUUAGAGGGUGCAAAAGCAGCUUGUGCUUUGAUAUAUUUCGAGUCCUCCCUGUAUUCACUCGACGGUUUUAAGCAUCAAAGUAGGCGAUAUUUUAGGUGUGCUCCAAUGGUGCUGGGCUCUUUUCCUUUGGUCUCUUGUUCCGGCUGGGCUUAUGUUCGUGGGCUGCUAUUUGGGCUAAGGGUUUCUCGUUUGCAUCUUUAUAAAAGAGGGGUGUUGUCUUGGGAUUAUACGCACCGCCUCUCAUUGUUUCUCCUUCUCAAACCCUAAACAUCUACUGAUCCCUCACACGUACAUUCGUGAGGAAGCCUUUGUUCUUGGUUUUAAUCAUUUGAUUCAUCUGUAAAGCCUGUUAAUCUGUGAUGACUGGCUAGGGUUCUUGUACUGUUAUUCGGAGAAGUUCAUUAAUAAAGUUGCA
Molecule: long non-coding RNA, 2101 nt
Organism: Helianthus annuus (common sunflower)
Lineage: Eukaryota; Viridiplantae; Streptophyta; Magnoliopsida; Asterales; Asteraceae
Exons: 4
Source: RefSeq, a predicted model, not a curated record